This is a non-coding RNA of Caretta caretta (loggerhead turtle), 6349 nucleotides long. The record is from RefSeq and is a predicted model, not a curated record. NCBI's taxonomy places the organism in Eukaryota, Metazoa, Chordata, Testudines, Cheloniidae.
CUUGUGGGAGCGGAGCGGAGCGGAGCAUGCGCAGUGCGCCGGGGCGGCCGGGGCUGCGGCGAGGCCUAGUGCAAACGCCGAGCGCCAGAGGCGCGGAUCCGCCCCGCGCGCGCAGGGUGGACAGGAUGAGGAGCCGUAAGAAGCAUUUACAUAGGCGCUAGGAGCGGGGGCGCCCCAGAAGACAUGUCGUACCGAGGCAGCGAGCGGGACUUCCAGACUUCAGCCAGGAGGAUGGGAACCUCGUUGCUCUUCCAGCUCUCUGUCCAUGAGAGAGAGCUGGACCUGGUCUUCCUGGACCACAGCUAUGCCAAGCCAUGGAGUGCCCACCCCGAUGCUAGCAGUGCCCGGCCUACUCGGAUGCUCUUUGUCACCCCCAGGAGGCACCAAGACAGCACCAUUGAGGUGGAUGUCCCCAUCGAUGUGGAGACUGUCACACCCACGCCUGUCCCCCUCUACGACAACCAGAAAGCGCGCAGUGUGAUGAACGAGUGUGAGCGCCACGUCAUCUUUGCCCGUACGGAUGCCGAUGCCCCUCCUCCGCCCGAUGACUGGGAGGAACACAUGAACAGGUCGGGUUGGACGAUGGCCCAGAACAAGCUAUUUAAUAAAAUCCUUAAAGCCCUGCAGUCUGACAGGCUGGCCCGCUUGGCCAAUGAAGGGGCUUGCAAUGAGCCAGUGCUGAGGAGGAUAGCAGUGGACAAGUGCGCCCGGCGGGUCCGCCAAGCUCUGGCCAGUGUGAACUGGGACACCAAGCUGAUCCAGUGGCUUCACACCACGCUGGUGGAGACUCUCAGUUUACCUAUGUUGGCUGCUUACCUGGAUGCUCUGCAGACACUUAAGGGAAAGAUCCCCACCCUGAUUGACAGGAUGCUGCUCUCGUCCACCACAAAGACAGGGGCAGCAGGGGCUGAGGCUCUCUCCCUCCUCCUGAAGAGACCAUGGGACCCAGCUGUGGGUGUCUUGUCACAUAAUAAACCUAGCAAGUUGCCUGGUUCUCCUCUCAUCCUGAUUGCGUCUUCUGGACCCUCCAGUUCUAUGUUCCCCACCUCUCGCCGGCACCGGUUCUGGCAGUCGCAGCUCUCCUGCCUGGGAAAGGUGAUCCCUGUUGCCACCCACCUGCUGAAUAAUGGUAGCGGGGUGGGAGUGUUGCAGUGUCUUGAACACAUGAUUGGUGCAGUCAGAGGCAAAGUGCUGGAGAUUCACAACCAUUUCACCCACAAACCGAUCAUCCUGAUUGGAUGGAACACAGGAGCCUUGGUGGCCUGUCACGUCUCAGUGGUGGAGUACGUCACCGCAGUUGUGUGCCUUGGAUUCCCUCUGCUCACAGUGGAUGGGCCCAGAGGGGAUGUGGAUGACCCCCUGCUGGACAUGAAGACGCCAGUUCUCUUUGUGGUUGGUCAGAAUUCUUUGCAGUGCAACGCUGAAGCUAUGGAAGAUUUCCGAGAGAAAAUCCGAGCUGAUAACAGCCUGGUGGUGGUGGGAGGAGCUGAUGACAAUCUGAGGAUAAGCAAAGCCAAAAAGAAGGCGGAAGGCCUGACCCAGAGCAUGGUGGACAGAUGCAUCCAGGAUGAAAUAGCUGACUUCCUGACCGGAGUCCUCACCCGCGCGGACAGCCAUUCAGGCUCCGACCCCAGGGACCUCGAUGCCGAGAAAAAGAAGAAACCACGUGACUUGACCAGGAGGGACCUGUCGUUCGACUUGCCAGAAAGAACCAGCAGUCCCACCUCCCCGGCAGCCAAGGUGCCGGCCUCACCUUCUGGCUCAGAGGAUCUGUCCAGUGUCUCCAGUAGCCCCACCUCGAGUCCCAAAACCAAAAUGGCUGCUGUAUCAUCUGUCCAGAAGUCCAGCCAGAUGGGUGCCACCCAGCUGCUGAAGAGACAUGUGCAGAGAACAGACGGGGUCCUGACACACAAGCAGGCACAAGCUCAGUUUGCUGCUUUUCUGAAACAAAACAUGCUGGUGAGGAAAGCUCUUCCUCCUGGCACCUCUUCAUGUCUCUUUGUUCCAGUCUCCUCAGAGCAGCCAGAAGCGACUGAGAAAGAAGAUGUGCGAAUGCAGCUGAAGAGACAUCAAACCCCCAGCCCGACCCAUUGCAGCAAAUCCUCCAAGCGAGCCAAAAUCAAGGUGACCAUUGUCUCCCACGGGGAAGCUGCUGGCACGGGGAAUGGAGCACCCCUCGUUGCACAGCCAGAAAGUGUGCCAGGAAAGCCUCCCACCAUGACCGUAGGCCAGUCUGGGUCAGGCGUAAAGGAGUUCUCGGGACUACUUACCACCACCAAGCUGAAUUCUGCAGCGGAAACCCCCACCCUCAGCUCUACCCCCUCGGCCAUGAUCCCUAGCAGCACAGCUCCCAGCGCCUUCCAUUCCUUGCAGAGCAGGCUGGUGGCCAGCAGUGCCCACUGCAGGCAGGCCCAGCCUAGCAACGCGCUCCAAGGAGCAGCGUCUGCUAGCAGCCUCCUGCAGGGACUGAGCUUCAGCCUGCAGGACAUCGGCACCAAGUCACCAGCCCUUCCAGCGAGCGUAGCAUCCGUGGGGCCAUCCAUACAGACCUCAGCUGGGAAGACACCAGCACCUAUCCAGAGUCUGAGUGCCAUAACCACGGGCACCGGGACAAUCGUCCGCACCAUUCCAGUCGCCACAUCCUUGUCGUCUCUUGGAGCCUCGGGGAGCGGGAAGCCCACAGCUAUUCACCAGUUGCUGACCAAUGGCGGGCUGGCCAAGCUGGCCAGCAGCCUUCCUGGCUUGGCUCAGAUCUCCAAUCAAGCGGCAGGCUUGAAGGCUCCGACCACCAUUACAGUGACCCUACGGGGGCAGCCUAACCGUGUCACUACCCUGAGCCAAGCGGCUGUGGGGACUAUCCAGCCUCAGCUGGAGGAGCAGCAGCUGCAAACUCAGACACCUCAGGUCUUGCUCCAUCUCUGGGUCCCAACUGCACCUGAGGUGAAUGUGACGGGUUCCCCCCAGGGUUCCCCCUGGAAUGGGGAUACCACUGAGCCCCCUGACCCACCAGCCUGGGCUCCCUCUCACACUGCUGCUGUGACAAACUGCAAAGCCCUCCAGCCUCCGUACAGGCACUGCCUCAUCCUGAUAUUUCAUGAGAAGAUCCUGUUCUGAGUUAUCAGCAAACAUCAGUGGAGGUAAUGACAUUUUGCCAGGUGCCCCAGGAUCUCGGCACAAAAUAAACAUAAAACUCAGGAGUAAAGGUUCUCCUUUUUUGAAAGCCAUGUGGGCACAUUAGCUCCUCUAAAAGGGGCGGGAACAGUCAGGGUCCUCCGGCGUGACUAUAAAUCCAGGCAGCAGGUUUCUGACAGACCUCAUAGGGAACUGUCUCACCCCUGGAGCCAUUUCUUAGCGAACUCCAGCUCCGUCUGUAGGACACUGAAAAGCCAAGAUGAAGACCCUGCUCUGUCUGACCAUGGUCUGUGCCAGCCUGGCUCUCUGCCGUAGGGUCGGCUUUCUGAUGAACAACGAGCAGAUAAAAGAGGGUAAAGUUAUAAUUAUUACUUCAGGCAAAUGUUUAUUUGGCACAAGUGGCAGACUCUGAGCUAGUCCCAGACUAGCUGUGGGCCUUGCAGGCCUGGAGAGACGUGCCUUGCUGGAGCUGGGGGUGAGGCGCUCAGUGAGAUGGCAGGUCAGGACUCAGAUGCAGCAUUUGUUUGUACCAAAUGUCUGGCUCUAGCCAGUGUUAUCAGUCCUUCACUGUCCUGUGUCUUUGUCUUUCCAUGCUCUUCCAUGUACGCAUGCCCACCUGUACACACUCACAGCCACUCUGCAGAGCAGGUCUCUGUUCUGAGCCACCCCUACGAGAAAGAGCCCAGGAACCAAGGAAUUUCUACUUUCACAAGUCCAUUUACUAUAUAGUCCUCAGAUAGAGGAUGUAUCAGACAUUAAACGGAUAAGAACAGAUUUAAAAAUUUUAUUAAGAUGAUGCUAAAAUAAAAAAAAACGGUACAGAGUUUAAGCAUAGAAGUUUCUGGUUAUCAAGGAAUAAGGUACAGAUUAUCAAGGGGUGCGAAGUUCGAUUUAGGAUCGGGUGGCAUAAGGAAUACAUAAUCUGCAAUCUCCCUGAUUUGGGGUAAAAGUUUAACCGGUCAAAGUACAGACAUUGAGAUAUGGGGGUAUGUUGUUCAUAUAAUGACUAUGUUCAGGUGUGGAGUAUAAUUACACUUGAUCUUAGCCAAAAGGCCGAGGUGAACUUCGUUCUCCUCACAGCUGAGAUCUGGCCAUUACAGACUACAGGUGGCUCUCCAUUACAAAGUAACCUUCAGAAAUAAACCAAAUCCAAUUUAUGAAACUCAUUACCCUUCUCUUGAGGCCACUCCUCCCAGCAAGUCCCUGGCAGCGUGUGCAGGGUGAGAACACGGCACUUUGACAGCGCUGCUGCCAGGCUCAUACAAAGGCAUUUGAUCAGCAAUCUGCUGGGGCUUAUUAAAGAGACUGUCAAAAGGCAGAAAUGGAUCAUGGGCUGCUGCAGUUCUGGAAAGCCUUUGCAGGAAGGUGAAGCCACACUCCUGAGCGUUUCACUGAGCAAAGCAUGUUAAUUAGCGAAGUAAUUAUGUUACAGGACCCUGUACCAAAUAGGCUUGGCAUUUACCCCCCUGCCAAAUGUACAGCAUAGACCUUAAGCAGACCUGCGCAAAUAAUGGAUUUGUCAGUUUCUGGCAGUGCAGAAAACUUUUUUAAAACAUGGUUUCAGGUCAAAUAAAAAAUGAAAUGUUUGAUUAAUUGAAAAGUUAAAGAAUACAAAAACAAAAACCCAACUCAGUUUUGGGUUGAACAAAAUGUUUCGUUUCUGUUUUGAAUGUUUUUUAAAGUUUGACUUUUUUAGAAUUAUUUUUCUUUGUUUUAUUCAUCAUGAUACAAUUCGGUGAAACCGACAUGAACACAUGACAUGUUUUGGUGCCACCUCGUCCGCCUUUUUCACCUGGUGCUCAUCCUAAUGCACCAAGGGUGGGUAAUUACGAUGGGUGGGUGAAAUGGGUUAGUUAAAAACGCAAGACACUUGAGUAGUAAGUAGCACUUGGCGCAUUCCCAGCACCUUCCAUAUGAGGCUCUAACUCACCCUGCAAAGAAGGCCAGCACGAGACCUGUGAGCCAUCUAAGGGUCAGACUGAAUUUCAAAGGAGUCUGCAGGAGGUAGCCACUCAAGUCCCAUUGAAUUUCAGUCCAGCCUAGGUCUUUCAGGACUUACUUGGGGUCGGUGGUGCACAGACCUGGUGCUAGCUCUCCACGUAGGAGUGAGUUUCACUCCUUAAUGAGUUAAGACUCAACAGCAUCCCAGUGAGGGAGGAACCUUUCCCGAAAACUGAAUCGAAACUUUAGGUUGGGGGUGAAAAUACCGGGUGAACUUUGAGUUUGUUCACUCGUUUUCCGGCCUCAUCCCACCUGCCCAAACUGCUGAAACACUGCCCGAAGCGCCAGAGCAGGGAGCUCUGAAAUUCCCCAGAGCUUGGUCUGGAGAUCCUGCCUGAUGUCCAUCCAAAUAGGGCUUCAUGGCGUGCAGGUCCCCAUCAGCACGUCUGGAUCCUGUUCCAACCUGAGUGGAGCUAGUUCACCUCAGUCUGGGACAGUUCCUCAGAUUUGUCACCCCAAAAGAAUGGCUCAGCUUUGGGAAUCUCCCCCACAUCCUCUGCAGUGAAGACCGAUGCAAAGAAUUUACGCUUCUCUGCAAUGGCCGUAUCUUUCUUGAGUGUGCCUUUAGGACCUCAAUCAACCAUGGCCCCACGGAUUGUUUGUCAGGCUUCCUACUUCUAAUGUUCUUACAUUGUUUUGAGAUUCUUUUUUGCGUGCUUCGUUUAGUGGGGCUGAUGUAAUUGCUCAAACGCCUUGCUUGGGAUGAUUUUCAAUCUUCUUACCCCACUGGCUACAAUUAGAGGUGUCAACGUGCUGGUUAAAGGCUUCUGCUGAUUGUCCUCAGUUUCAGAGACCUGUAUUUAUAACCUUAAUUGAUGCUUAAAUAAAUGGAUACUUUUAAAUGGAACAGCCACUUAAUCAAGCCAAAUAUGAAUCCAUUGCAGAGUCCUGACUAAGAAGUUUCUACUCUGGACACAAAGCCUCUGACUGUACAAAGACUUGGUUUGAGAUCUAUCUCUGUGCUGCCCUUUUCAUCCCAGCCGUACCCUUGGGUUGGGAAGUGUGGACGCACAGGGGAUUCUUGGGGUCUCAAGAGCUCCUGAGCUGUAUCCAGGCAGUUGAAUAUUUCAAGUGGAUUUGCAAUGUUAAUAAUUGCUUUGUUCAAUGACUGUUCUUUGGCUAAAGCAUUUCUUCCAGCAAGAUAACUAGGUCCGAGUUGAAGACAUCAAGAUAUAGCUUUGCAUUUAGCUGCAUUAAAACGUAUUUUGGUUACCAA